AACGCACAUUGCGCCCCUUGGUAUUCCAUGGGGCAUGCCUGUUCGAGCGUCAUUUGUACCUUCAAGCUAUGCUUGGUGUUGGGUGUUUGUCCUUGUUCCUUCGGGGUAGGACUCGCCUUAAAGUAAUUGGCAGCCAGUAUUUUGGUUUGAAGCGCAGCACAAGUCGCGAUUCAAGCUUGAGUAAUAGCGUCCAUCAAGUUAUUUUAUCACUUUUGACCUCGGAUCAGGUAGGGAUACCCGCUGAACUUAA
This 250-nucleotide unclassified non-coding RNA is filed under the name uncultured fungus. RNAcentral describes it as "partial contains 5.8S ribosomal RNA, internal transcribed spacer 2, and large subunit ribosomal RNA". Lineage: Eukaryota; Fungi. The record is from RNAcentral.